Long non-coding RNA from Astatotilapia calliptera (eastern happy), 2699 nucleotides. NCBI's taxonomy places the organism in Eukaryota, Metazoa, Chordata, Actinopteri, Cichliformes, Cichlidae. The record is from Ensembl.
GUCUGACAGAAGCAACACUCACACAUGGGAUAAUCAUUUAUCUCGUUUGGUCAUCUUAUUAACACACAUUGGGUUUGUUUGACAACCACAAACAUCACAUUCAUUUUAUUCUGUUACAUUAGAAAUAUAAAAUCUUAAUGUGUAUGUGUGGAUAAUCUCAUAAUGUUAAAUAUUUAGUCACAAUUCUUCAGUGCAAUGGAUAAAUUAUUUAAGGCUGUUGCUGUUAUAUUAGCCUUUCAAAAACCAGCUAAUAAUGUGUUGGAAAACCACCUUUGGUACACAAAAGUAUACAGGAUCUUAAAAACAUUGUCCGCAAGAAUAAAAGCUGCAGUCUGACAUGUGCUAUAAAUACUUAAGCAGUUGGCAGUGCCUCACCUGCUCUCUAGUGUCACCGUGAGGCUGACGAGCUAAAAUGUAACGCUGCUCCUAUUUCCUUUCAACACUCUAGAUCAGGGGUGGGCAACUCCAGGCCUCGAGUCCAACACAGCUCCUUGAUCCAACACAGCUGAUUUAAGUGGCUAAAUUAGCUCCUCAACAUGUCCUGAAGUUCUCCAGAGGCCUGGUAACGAACGAAUCGUUUUAAUUCAGGUGUGUUGACCCAAGGUGAGAUUCAAAACCUGCAGGACACCGGCCCUCGAGGCCUGGAAUUGCCCACACCUGCUCUAGAUAAUGCAAAGACACAGGAACCUACAGACUGCAUUUUGGUUUAAUCCUUUAUUAUGUGUUAAGAAAAUCCACAAUGAAACAAAAAUAAUUUACUCAGGGUGAACAUGAAAUAAGAACACAGCUACGCAGGAUACAUAGGGUUCAGGAACAUAGAGAAGAGGGAGGGCAAAGGAGCAUCAUCUACUUGGGAAUGAACAGACGAGGAAAACUUGGGUUUUCUGUGCUGGAUAUGCUGUUCAGAACACAGCGCAGUUGAAAGUUUGCUUGUAAGAAGUCUCUCCGAACACAUAAACCCUCUCUGAAUGCGUUUACUCGUCACGUUUUGUUUCAAACACAGCCUAUCAAAAUGGAAGAGUUAAAUACAGAACUCCCAAGUAAGUGUUUUUUGUGAUUUCUUGCACACAUUCACUGACAGUUUCACACACACACACACACACACACAGUCAUAGCAUUCUUUCAAUCACUUUAACCUCACUCGUAAGUUUAUUUUUUUUACCCAUAAUAAUCCAACUAAAAAAGAUGGAGUGUGAUGUUUGCAUGCUGUAUUUUUAGAGACAUUCCAUAAGUUUGUUUUUUCUGUCCCAUGUGUUCCUCACUCAAAAGCGAUCCACAUGCAAAAGUAACUAAAGGACAUUUCUCCAUAUUCUCUUCAAUGUUUCCAUGCGCCAAGGUAUUGCAUAGGACUUGGGGCUCGUGGGACUCCCUUCCACAUUGCUUAUGCAAUUUACAAUGGCUUAGUUCUUUUUUCCCCCCUUCCUAAAACUACAGCUCUAAAUUAAUGACAGUCACCUCUGCUGUUUGGAAAGAACUCCUGUCAAUAAUUUGUUCAACAUUUGAAGAAAAUGUUUUACAUUGAUGCAUCAAUGCACUGCCACAGGUCUGAGUGUAGACUAUGCAGUAUGCUUAUAUUAAAAAAUUCCUGAGUGUCUCAAAGAAAGGUGACAAGACCCUGAAGUUAAGUACCUUCCAUUCAGCUACUUGGGGGGCCCUUUUUUAAAAUCAAGCGGCAUUGGACUAAAACUUUGGACCUUCAAAUCUUAAUUUUCUACAGAGCCAUGUCAAAGCCAUGCCCAAAAUAAAAACACCUUUACCUGCGACAGUGCAUUACUGUGUACACUGCUGACAUGUACCCAUGACAGAGGGAUGAUUUUGGUAAUCUGUGCUUCAGUUUGGGGUAUGAUAUGACAACAACAAAAAAAAAAAAAAUUAAAUAUGAAAAUAAAAAGAAUAUAUACACACUGCUACUAUCCUCAAAUGAGAAGACAAUAAAAGAUCAGACAGAAAAACACCUUUUAGGAAACAUGCUUAUCUGCAAAUAUUUUGGGGUUUCAAAAGCAAAGGUCACACAGGGAGGCACAUGUGCCACGACAAAUUGGUAGCCAAUUGGAUCAGGGUUUUAGUUCAAGCUAGGCCAAAUUAAUGAAGGUGAAGCUCACCAUACACAUAUUUAAAAAAAAAAAAAAAAAAAAUCAACAACCACUCAUUCUGAACCAGUAGUUUCACAAGUUCUAUGUCAACACACACACACACACACACACACACACUGACAUUACUUAAUAUUUCAUUUCAACAUGAUAUAGUGAACACCAAAAGAUAAAAAUAAAAUAAAAACAAAACCCAUAUGGAGAACAAAAAGCAUUUGUACCUUAGUGUAGUUACGCCUUUUUUUAGAUUGAACAUUUGCCCCACCACUUACACUGCUAUCAAUCUGUUUAGCUGCAGCAGGGAGAACCAGUUUUGGCCUUUCCGAGGAUGGAUAGAAAAUGAAGACAUGCUACCUGCAAGUAUUUCUCCUUCUGCUGUUACAGGAGAGUAAGACAACAGAUAGGUUUCAUUAAAAUAAAAAUCCAGCCAAAUUAACUAGGAAGGGCAAGUUUUCUAUUAAUUUUCUUAUAGGUUAUCUGAGGGACAACAAAUAAAAUUUUUGUCAUCUUUAAAUCAAGAGUCAUAUAAUAAAACUGCAACUUCAAAAUAUUUUGAACGUAUUUAUAGCACCAAUAGUGUGUACCAUUAAAAUUACAAAAGAAACAGAG